AGUGCCUGGAGUGUCGCUAGGGAGUGGGUGGCCGCCACCAGUCUAGGGAUGGGGGCUGUGGUUCGCCGGGACACGGGGACCACGGCUCAGACUAGACGGCGGGUACGAGAGCGAGGGAGGCAGGGAGCGUCCCCACGGGUAUCCUGGGGCCCCGGAGGUCGGCGUCCCUGGCACGGGGACUGCUGUGCCCGGCACGGCGGCGGGACCUUCUCGCGGUCUCCGGGGGCCUCCCUCCCCUGCCUUCUUCGUGAAAACAGCCGGCGCGCGGGCUUCCGCCGCCCAGUGCGGGGAGCCCUAAACUCCAGCCUUCUGCUUUGCGCAGGGUGAGGCCGGGCUGCAGGCCCGGGAUGCGGGCGGCGGGAAUCUGCCGGGCAGAGCCCGGCUCACGGUCAGGAGGCGGCAGGCUGAGUCCAAGCGCUGCGCCAGAGGGUGGGGUGGGGCAGGGCGGGCCUGGCUGCGCGCGCGCACACGCGGGCGCCUGGGGUGGGCGCUAAGCCCUGAGCACGUGCGCCCGCGCUCUCGGGCACCCCCGUGCCAUCCUCGCGACCCCCGUCCGGCCUGAGACCGCGUGCCCGAGUCGCCCAGGGUCCCCUUGUCCAGAUGCGACAGGGGCCUCGGCACUCGGCGUAUUUCGGAGGCCUGGGGCGCGGCUUGACCUCCGGGCACCUCUGCCCCUGCGCAGGGCCAGGCGCGACCUUGCGCGGAAAGUGCUGGGCGCCUUGGAGUGCCCUGGAGAAGGCGCGGCUCUGCAUGGAGCCUCGCCGCCUGCCCCUGGCGCUUGUCACUGAAGAAUCAGUUUUUGCUACCGGGCUGUUUGACUUUAGGAAGCCUUUACCUCCUUAAGUUCUGCCCUGUAACCAGGACACAAAGACGGGGUCUCUUCCUCCUCGGUGAAAUCCUAGAUGGGAUUUCCUGCUGCCCGCCCGGACGAUGAGCGGAUCCCCAACAUGGCUCCAAGGCCAGUGUCUCCCGCUCCCGUCCCUCCCACCGCACACAACUGUCUACCCUGUCAUUCAGCCACUGUGAGCCCUGCCUCCCCACGGCCUUUGACAUUCAGUGUGGCCGCCCGCCCUAACCGCCUGAUGCAUGAAAUGUGAGCACGGGAAGUCUGUGUGGCUUCUGGGCCAACAGGAGCCCCCAUCCCUUGGGGACUAUAAGGAAUGGAACCAUGCCCAUCUACCUAGGACAUGCACCCGCCUGGACAUGCACCCGCCUGGACAUGCACCCGCCUAGGACAUGCACCCACCUGGACAUGCACCCGCUUAGGACACAUGGCAUGCAUUUCACUACUGAGAUUUAGAGGGUAUUUUUAUGGCAGCAUAACCUAGGUUACCUGACCAACCAGCCACCGCAGCUCUCCCUGCCUGGCUAGCACAAACGCAUCGGUCUCUAACUUCCAGUGCACAGAGCCGAGUUUUCAGCCCUUGCAGCUGCGAAGCUCUGUUCCCUGCUCUCCCUCAAAGUUGCCAUUCUCCAGCAGGCACGCAGAAGGCAGUGGGUUCAGCACCUGCCUCAGAGGAAGCCCUCGGUGCCCAUCCCAGCAGGAGUGGUGAAGGAGCGUUUGGAAGGGGAGGUACCAAGGCAGGGCAGUGCCUGGAACCCUGCGUACCCGGUGCACACAUCAGACUCCCCAGGGCUCCUCCCAAAACACGCAGCCUCUGAACUUACAUCAUCGCCUCUCCUCCUCUCCCUCUGACCCCUAAAAGUGGCAGAAAAGGAAUAAAAGAUAUAACGUCCCCACCACCACCUAAGAGGGAACAGGAGAAGGGAAGACAUGUUAAUAGACUUCAGACAGCAGGUAGAAAGCUGACUCUGAAGAUUGGAGAGGCUGAGGACCUGCAGGUAACCAGGACCCCAAAAGGCGGGAGAAUGUGAAUACAGCCAGAGCCCAGGACGCCUCCCCGGCCCGGGCAGUUGGGGAUGGACAGUCCUCUGGUCUGAGGGUCCAAAGGGGCUCUUGACCUAGGGAUACCAAGUCCUGCAGAAGACAAGAGUGCAGGGGGGCAGAGGGGUUCAUGGGGACAUCUGCACACUUAACUAGGAGACCCUCCAACCUCACCCUUGCUGUGAGCCUCAAACACCAAGCCAGGCACCUGCCUCUCAGUCAGGAAACAGGAAGGAUCUGUAGGGAAACAGCAGCUCCCAAAAGAAUGCCGGGUCCUAAGAUUUGGCCAGUGCAGAUCAGCCCUGGAGGGGCCUGUGGGCUCAGGGCACAACUCUUGUACUGUCCAGGUGCAACUCUUGUACUGUCCAGCCACGGCUCAGGGUCCAGGCAAACACAAGACUGAGCGUUAAGAGGUGCACAGUGUAGGCAUGAGACAGGAGGGGUCAGGAACUGCUGUCCCCAAGAGGAUGCCAACCCCUGGUGCCUCAUGGGAGGUAGCUCUGAAGUUCUAGGGGGAUGCUGGGAGGGACUGAGGCUGGGACAGAGUCAGCUGUGGAUGGGAAGGGGCAGUGAGGCCAGUAGAGAAUUCCUGAGUUCCCCUGUGUGCCCAUGCUGCCCGGGAACGUCAACUUCAUUAGGGCAGCGAUGGUGUCUGCCCCUUCCAAUGACAGGAGACCAAGUGACAAUGUGACAGAUAAAUGCAUUCAGUGCACUGACGUCUAGCACGCAGGAGCACACAGGAAGGCACAUGGCUGGGCAGCACGUGCAUGAUCGUGGGACCACUUUAGCUUGGGUAGUCCAGCAUGAGUCUCUGAGCAGGUGACCUUGAUGCUGAGGCCGGAGCAUGAACGAGUAGCCCAAGGGAGGCCAGGUGUCCGGGUUCCAACAGCAGGAGCUGGCCCUAAGGUAGAAACCGGCUUGUGCGGGAGGACAGGAGGGUCCAUGCUGCAGGACAGCAAGUGAGUGGCCGUGGCAUGUGCUGAAGGGCUGGGGGUGGUUUGGGGGACAAGGUGCAGUCCCUGACACCAGGCUUCAUGUGCAUUUGUUCAUAAUUCGUCCAUAAAGCCACGCCUCCUGAGGGACAUGCCUUGGACAUGGGUCCUCCGUUGCCACAUAAUUGGCACACAGCUCAGUCACACCGAGAUGUGUGCUUCAUCUUCUGUCAUCAUUAUGAAAUUAACACAUGCUCUGCCCACGCCUUUGUUAAGAGUCCUUUUAUUAAAUCUCCUCAGAUCACACGAUUCGUGUGUGCUGUUUCCUGCUGGAAAACACAUCUCAGAACUGACCCCCAAAACAGGAAAUGGGCUCCCAUGGGACUCCGAUGCUGGUGUCCACCUAUGUGGAGAAUCCACGGACAGCCUCCCUCCUGGGAAAUGGAAGACAGAUGGCCGUGGCGCCCUCAGAUUCAGCCCUGGCGGGGCCUGGGACUGAGGAUUCUUGGAAGGCCAGGGCCUUGGAGCCCACGUGUGGGGACACUUGGUUGCUAUGGUGACAGUAUUGAUUUUAAAGGUCAUGUGGCCACCUGGUGACUCAGGAAGGAGCACAGCGACGGAGAACAUGCAGGACGGGCUGCAGCCACUAGGAAGGAGCCCUCGCCCCCACUGCAGUGCGCCGGGGCCGAGCAUGAGUUCACCGCUCAGCUCUGCUUAAGGACCCACAACCCCAGCCCCUGCUGCCACCAUCAUCACGUUGCCUUUUCAUCUGUCUACUCCGCCCUUUUCUUCCUCUAUAAGGACACUUGUCAUUGGACUUAGGGCCCACCCUACUCCAGGAUGAUAUCAUCUUGAGAUCCUUAACUUAGUUACAUCUGCAAAGAUCCUCUUUCCAGAUAAGGUCACAUUCACAGGGCCGGCACGGACAUGUCCUUUGGUGGCAAAAGGCCACCAUUUAACCCACCACAUCCAUGGGCAGCAUGGAUUCACCACACCCUACAGCCCCAAAGUCCCAACCAUUACAGCAGCAACUCUAAGUCCAAAAUCCCAGCUCAAGAUUUUUUUUGAGACAGAGUCUCACUGUGUUGCCCAGACUGGAGUGCAGUGGUGCUAUCAUGGCUCACUGCAGCCUCGACCUCCCAGGCUCAAGCGAUCCUCCCAUCUCAGGCUCCUGAGUAGCUCGGACCAUAGAUCCAUGACCCCACCCCUGGCUGAUUUUUUGUGCUUUUGGUAGAGACAAGGAUUUCACACUGUGGCCUAGGCUGAUCUCAAACUUUGGGGCUCAAGAAAUCCACCCCACUCAGCCUCCUAAAGUGCUGGGAUUACAGGUAUGAGCCACUGCACCCAGCCUCUCGUCUAAAUAUUUUCAGCUCGAAAGUCUCCAAGACUCAUUGUCUAAAUCAUGCCUGAUUUAGACAAUCAGAAAUGAUGUCCAAGACUCAUUAUCUAAAUCAGGCAUGGGUGAGACCUCAGUUCAAUCCAUUCUGGGCAAAAUUCCCCUUUAUCUGUGUAACUGUGAAACUGGAAAAUAUGCUUCCAAGGUACAGUGAUGAGAUAGGCAUAAGAUAUACAUUCCCAUUUCAAAAGGGAGAAAUAAGAAGGAAUAAAAAGAGUCAUCGGUCCCAAGUAAGUUCAAAUCCAGCAGGGCAAGUUCCAUGAGGUUUCAAGGCCUGGCAAGAAUUCUUGGUGGCUCAAUGCUGCACUACGUAAACUAAAAUUAAAACCAUAAGCCCCCAACCGAUGGGACAGACCCGCUCUUGGCCAAGGAAACUCCAGAAAAACCUUAAAACUGAGUUCCAGGCCAGAUGCAGUGGCUCAUGCCUGUAGUCCCAACACUUUGGGAGGCCGAGGUGGGCGGCUCACUUGAGGUCAGGAGUUCGAGACCAGCCUGGCCAACAUGGCAAAACUCUACCUCUACUAAAAAUACAAAACUUAGCCAGGCGUGGUGGCACACGCCUGUAAUACCAGCUACUCAGGAAGCUGAGGCAUGAGAAUCACCCGAACCUGUGAGGUGGAGAUUGCUGUGAGCCGAGAUCACGCCACUGCACUCCAGCCUGGGCGACAGAGCGAGACUCUGUCUCAAAAAAUAAAAUAAAAUUAAAUUAAAAACCUGAGUUCCUGGCUAUGAUGGUGGGAUGGGAGGUCAGACGGGUCUCCUGAUACCCCCUCCCUUUUACGGUUUAGACACAACAACCAACCAGCUUUAAUGUUAAGCUGGAGACCAUAAGACAAACGGAAUGGCUCUUUGUGGCAAUAAGAUACCAAAUUAUAAACAGGACCUAAGGCCAUGCCGAGUGACGGUUAAGUCACACACUCUACCCUUACAGCAGCUAACAAGCACUGGCCUUGAGAUGAGCAACAUUAAACGCCGUGGCUGUUUACCAUCCACACAGAGGCAGCCUCUAAGGCUAAAAAGGACCCUUCCACACGGGCCACACGACAGACAUUUGCCAAGCACCUGCUCCAUGCUAGGCACUGCAGCAGACACUGCUGACAUAGUGAAUGGUCAGAUGGAGCGUGCACCCCUCUCAGCGAGGGAGACGGGAACCCAGUGGAUAGCAGGCAAAGAGGGGAUGCACAGAGGGCUGCGAGAGCAGGAGUGGAUGCCAGUCCUGACAGAGCAUGAGGGACACCCCCUCGAGGCAGCCCACAGCAGAGCUGACACCUGACAGAUGGGCAGACGUCAGCCAAAGGGGAGCAGGAGAGCAGCCCUCCGGGCAGAACAUGGGUAGCGUCCAAGAGGUGAGCAAGAAUGUGAUGCUUUAGAAGAAAGGAAUGAAUGAAAGGCCAGGCUGGUUAAGCUGGAGAGAUUGAGGCAGGGAGUGGCAAGAGACGAAGGCUAAGGAGAUGACAAGGACCAGGUCAAGAGGCCUCAUGAGCUCCGUGGAAGGUGCUAGCUCUGGCUUCCUGAAAGGCUGCUGAAAUGGGGGUUGUUUAAGACCCAUGCAGUGAACUUUGGCCAAUGGAAAACCACUGCUGGGAGGAUAAGCCACCUCUCCUUCCUCUUUCCCACAAGAGUUCGCAGGCAGAGUCUCUCUCCUGCCCAUGUGAAGGCAUCCUACCUGGCCAAGCAGGGCAUCCAUGGAGCAGCAGCCUCUGUCAGAACUCAGCCAGCCAUAAGCCCUCGGCCAGCACCGCGAUGCACCACCUUACCUGGGCCCCGCCCUUCUCUGCCCCUCUGCCCUUCUGCAUCUAUAUAAAGGAGGGGCAAAUCAAUUUCAUGUUGAAAGACAAUUCAUCGCUCAUAGCAGAACUAAUAACACUCUGCCUGAUAGCAUGUGCAGAUGUAAAACUGCACAACUUACAAAGGGCAAAGAGAUGAUGACACUGCUGAGCUUUUCUGACAUUCCCUGGAAGUGGUGUUUUACAGCUCAGGUUUGACUGUGACAGACUGAGGGUGGCUAUCGUGAUCCACAGCAAUGCCUUUAAAAAGUGGCCCAGCUAACGAGCCAACAGAGGAGAUACAAUGUAACUAAAAUCACCAGGAGAAGAUGAAAACAACCCAUGGGACACAAGGAAAAUAAAGAGCAGAGUGGUAGAGUUCAUCAUUACAGUAAACGUAAAUGGACUACGCACUUCAAUUAGAAGAUAGAGACCAUCAGACUGGAUACAAAUGCAAGACCCUAAUAUGUAUAUGCUGAUUCUAAAAGCUGCAUCUUAAAUAUAAAGAUGAAUUAUAACCUAAACACUAAAAAAGAAUUUAAAAGUAAAAAGAUGGAAAAAAGAUAUACCAUGCAAAUAAUAAUCAUAAGAAAGGUGAUGUAGCUAUAUUUAUAUCAGAUAACGUAGACUUCAAGACAAAGAAUAUUAUUAGAGAUAAAAAGGAACAUUUCAAAUGAUAAAAGGAUCAAUUAUUUAAGAAUACCUAACAUGCAGCCAUAAAAAAGAUUGAGUUUGGCCAGGCGCAGUGGCUCAUGCCUGUAAUCCCAGCACUUUGGGAGGCCGAGGCAGGCAGAUCCUGAGUUCAGGAGUUCAAGACCAGCCUGACCAACACGGAGAAACCCCAUCUCUACUAAAAAUCCAAAAUUAGCCAGGCGUGGUGGCGCAUGUCUGUAAUCCCAGCUACUUGGGAGGCUGAGACAGGAGAAUCAUUCGAACCUAAGAGGCGGAAGUUGCGGUGAGCAGAGAUUGCACCAUUGCAUUCCAGCCUGGGCAACAAGAGCGAAAUUCCAUCUCAAAAAAAAAAGAAUAAGUUCAUGUCCUUUGCAGGGACAUGGAUGAAGCUGGAAUCCAUCAUUCUCAGCAAACUAACACAGGAACAGAAAACCAAACACCACAUGUUCUCAUUCAUAAGUGGAAGCUGAACAAUGAGAACACAUGGACACAGGGAGGGGAACAUCACACACUAAGGCCUGCUGGGGGUUUGGGGGCAAGGGGAGGGACAGCAUUAGGACAAAUACCUAAUGCAUGUGGGGCUUAAAACCUAGAUGAUGGGUUGAUAGGUGCAGCAAACCAGCAUGGCACAUGUAUAGCUAUGUAACAAACCUGCACAUUCUACACAUGUAUCCCAGAACUUAAAAGUAAAAUAAAUAAAUAGAUAGCACAAAAAAAGAAUACCUAACAAUCCCAAAUAUGUAUGCGCCUAAUAAGAAGACUUCAAACUAUAUAAAGCAAAACUUGACAACCGGAGAGAAAAAUAGACAAACGCACAGUCAUAGUAGUAGAGCUUAACACUUCCAUCUCAGGAAUUGCUAGAACAGGUACACACAUACGCAAUUACUAAGGAUAUAGAAGUUUGGGCAACACUCUUAAGCAAGUUGACCUGAUCGACAUCUAUAGAACACAAUAACCAAUAACUGCAUAUUACACAUUAUUUUCAAGUGUGCAAGAAAUAUUAAAUAGGAUGUCAUAUCCUGAAACAAAAUGAAAAUUUUCAAUAAAUCUCAAAGGAUUGAAAUAAUAUAUAAUGUGUUAUCUGAACACAAUGAAAUUA
RNAcentral lists this long non-coding RNA (7750 nucleotides) under Homo sapiens (human). RNAcentral describes it as "non-protein coding lnc-LRRC27-2:1". The record is from RNAcentral. Lineage: Eukaryota; Metazoa; Chordata; Mammalia; Primates; Hominidae.